CCUACGGGAGGCAGCAGUGGGGAAUCUUGUGCAAUGGACGAAAGUCUGACACAGCCACGCCGCGUGCGGGAAGAAGGCCUUCGGGUUGUAAACCGCUUUCAGCAGGAACGAAAAUGACGGUACCUGCAGAAGAAGAUGCGGCCAACUACGUGCCAGCAGCCGCGGUGAUACGUAGGCAUCAAGCGUUGUCCGGAUUUAUUGGGCGUAAAGAGCUCGUAGGCGGUUCAGCAAGUCGGGUGUGAAAACUCUGGGCUUAACCCAGAGCCUGCACUCGAAACUGCUGUGACUAGAGUUCGGUAGGGGAGCAGGGAAUUCCUAGUGUAGCGGUGAAAUGCGCAGAUAUUAGGAGGAACACCAAUGGCGAAGGCACUGCUCUGGGCCGAUACUGACGCUGAGGAGCGAGAGUGUGGGUAGCAAACAGGAUUAGAUACCCUGGUAGUCCACGCCGUAAACGAUGGGCACUAGGUGUGGGUCUCUAACCAACGAGAUCUGCGCCGUCGCUAACGCAUUAAGUGCCCCGCCUGGGGGAGGUACGGUCGCGAGACGUAAACUUAAAUAGAAGUUAGACGGCGUGAGACGUAGACCGAACGGACGACGACGAGGGAGGAGGG
RNAcentral lists this ribosomal RNA (611 nucleotides) under uncultured bacterium. RNAcentral describes it as "bacterial SSU rRNA". It matches the Rfam family "Bacterial small subunit ribosomal RNA", at positions 338 to 1533 of the family's 1533-position model. The record is from RNAcentral.